RNAcentral lists this long non-coding RNA (1516 nucleotides) under Homo sapiens (human). RNAcentral's name for it is "non-protein coding lnc-ANKRD18B-6:5". The record is from RNAcentral. Lineage: Eukaryota; Metazoa; Chordata; Mammalia; Primates; Hominidae.
CUGGAAACCUUCAGAAUCUGCUGGCCCCCAACCCUCCCUGGGGACCCCUGUGGCCUGUCUCACCAGAGCACUCUUCUGUCUGUAGAUGUCUCAGCGGCUCUACAAGGGAGUCCCAUUUCAGGUGUGGGGCUGGGCAUGGUCACUCCUGCUGGAUGUCUAGAAGAUGGAAACUAAGGACCUAGGAAAAUGCCAGAUACAGCCUUUCCACCCUCAUCCAGAGCAGGACAAACAGGCCAGGUGGUGUCAGGAGCCCAGGUCUCCAGCUGGAGGGAACGUCAACCCUGCAGUGGGAGCAGGGGCCCAUCGCACAUCCUAGGCACAGAUGCUAAUGUAGGCACUGCAGGGCCUAUGACCUGGUGCACAACUUUAGACACCAUCAUCCUGGAGCAGCACUGCACCCUCACUAGCCAGAGUGUUGACAUCCUCAAGGCCAGGGCCACAUUCAAGACUUUGGACUUCAUUGAUGCACUUGUGCUGAGCAAGGUGGGCAUCUCUGGUAUCUUAAUUCAGGAGGCAGAAUACAGCUUGAGAUCAGGUGUCUGAUCAAAGAACUUGAACUUGAUCUGGAGGGCUCUGGGGAGCCAUGGAAGGUUCUGGAUAAAGGAGGGUCAGUCAGCCACGUUUUAGAAAUGACUGUGGAAGUCUUCCUGGAAGGAGUGAACAAGAGCCAGGAGACCAGGGAGGGAGCUUGUGGGGCAGGUCUGGAGAUGGCAAGGGAGGGAUCCUGCUUGGAUGAAAAGUCUUCAGGGACCAUCUCAGGUUACACUCAGGUGCCCUCUGAGUUAGUGUGUUCUAAGUAAGGGGUUUUAAGCCUCCUAUUGUGGCUUAUCCCUGACAGUGUCAGCACCAGCUCCCCUAACCCCACAGCUCAGGGUCCACUUUGCUUCUGUAUCCUGCAUGUUCCCCUUUCCUGCUGAAAAGCAGAUUCCCCAAUGAGCAGCAGAAUCCUGUUUCUCCCUGCAGGCCCCUCUGCUCCAUAUGAGUGGUGUUUUGUGGGAUUCCUCCCUUGGUUUUGGAUGAGAACACCCUUUCCCGUUCCACAGGGAUUGUUUCUGUGGACCUUACCCCAGGUUUUCCCCUGGUCGGGCACCGGGCAGGUGGGGGUGGUGGGACCAACUCUUUAGAACCAGCAAUGUCAAACAGAUCCCACUCAGGGGAAGUUCAUGCUAAGUGUCAUGGGUCCUAUGGAAUUUUCUGAAGCUUUCCUUUUCUCCCCCACCUUCAACCAGCUUAUCUGAUCUCCUGGGAUCUCUACUAGGAUGCUGGCAGCCCAGCCAGCUGGUCUGGCCCUGGACGUGCCUUCAGGUGCUGGUUAUGCUUUAUGACCUGUGUUGUGAUCCUGGUCAGAGUAAAACAUUCCAUGGGAACUCGGGCUGUGAGAAACAUCCUAACCACCUGACUGCAGAAACAUCCUUAUCACAUCCUGCUGGGCAAGGGCCCAACAGCCUGACUUCAGGAACAUCCUUAUCAUCUUCUACUGAGCAGCAAGCUAUACUGUCCAGAGCCCUCCCUCCCA